GAUGAACGCUGGCGGCGUGCCUAAUACAUGCAAGUCGAGCGAACAGACGAGGAGCUUGCUCCUCUUACGUUAGCGGCGGACGGGUGAGUAACACGUGGAUAACCUACCUAUAAGACUGGGAUAACUUCGGGAAACCGGAGCUAAUACCGGAUAAUAUAUUGAACCGCAUGGUUCAAUAGUGAAAGACGGUUUUGCUGUCACUUAUAGAUGUAUCCGCGCCGCAUUAGCUAGUUGGUAAGGUAACGGCUUACCAAGGCAACGAUGCGUAGCCGACCUGAGAGGGUGAUCGGCCACACUGGAACUGAGACACGGUCCAGACUCCUACGGGAGGCAGCAGUAGGGAAUCUUCCGCAAUGGGCGAAAGCCUGACGGAGCAACGCCGCGUGAGUGAUGAAGGUCUUCGGAUCGUAAAACUCUGUUAUUAGGGAAGAACAAAUGUGUAAGUAACUAUGCACGUCUUGACGGUACCUAAUCAGAAAGCCACGGCUAACUACGUG
This 497-nucleotide ribosomal RNA is filed under the name uncultured bacterium. RNAcentral describes it as "partial 16S ribosomal RNA". It matches the Rfam family "Bacterial small subunit ribosomal RNA", at positions 28 to 507 of the family's 1533-position model. The record is from RNAcentral.